UGCUAGGAGAUUGCCUCUGUCAUUACCCACUUAGAGUGGAUAUGGGAAUGCAAUUGAAGA
The submitters of this non-coding RNA (60 nucleotides) gave its source as unclassified sequences. The record is from Rfam.